AUUGAACGCUGGCGGCAUGCUUUACACAUGCAAGUCGAACGGUAACAGGGAGCUUGCUCCGCUGACGAGUGGCGAACGGGUGAGUAAUAUAUCGGAACGUACCCAAGAGUGGGGGAUAACGUAGCGAAAGUUACGCUAAUACCGCAUACGAUCUAUGGAUGAAAGCAGGGGACCUUCGGGCCUUGUGCUCCUGGAGCGGCCGAUAGCUGAUUAGCUAGUUGGUGAGGUAAAGGCUCACCAAGGCAACGAUCAGUAGCUGGUCUGAGAGGACGACCAGCCACCCUAGAACUGAGACACGGUCCAGACUCCUACGGGAGGCAGCAGUGGGGAAUUUUGGACAAUGGGCGCAAGCCUGAUCCAGCAAUGCCGCGUGAGUGAAGAAGGCCUUCGGGUUGUAAAGCUCUUUUGUCAGGGAAGAAACGGCUGUGGCUAAUAUCCACGGCUAAUGACGGUACCUGAAGAAUAAGCACCGGCUAACUACGUGCCAGCCGCCGCCGUAA
RNAcentral lists this ribosomal RNA (500 nucleotides) under uncultured bacterium. Its description in RNAcentral is "partial 16S ribosomal RNA". It matches the Rfam family "Bacterial small subunit ribosomal RNA", at positions 30 to 523 of the family's 1533-position model. The record is from RNAcentral.